Beta vulgaris subsp. vulgaris (sugar beet) is the source of this 448-nucleotide long non-coding RNA. RefSeq lists it as uncharacterized. The transcript is spliced from 2 exons. The record is from RefSeq and is a predicted model, not a curated record. NCBI's taxonomy places the organism in Eukaryota, Viridiplantae, Streptophyta, Magnoliopsida, Caryophyllales, Amaranthaceae.
GUCUCUCUCCUCUGUUCGUGUUGCUACCGCGAGCGAAGUCUCGUUGUUGUCGUCGCUGUUGUGUUGCUGCUGUCCUUUGUCGCGAGCCGCUGAUGGUGGUUUCUCUACUUGCCGCCAUUACUCUGCCGCGUGGUAGUGUUGUUGUUAUGCGGUGAUGUUUGCUGGUUGUGCGAUGUACCAAAAGUAUCUUAUAUGUUUCAGGUUGAAGCCGUGAGUUAUUCUUUUGCAAGCUGAAGCGGAUACGAGAUGGUGCAGUAUUAUAUUUGUUAUUGAAGUGAGGACGCUCCACUUGUAAUAGUUAAUCGUUUAAUUAUUUUUAAUAAUCUAUUUCAUUAUUUAAGAACCGGUAGCUAGUGCUCCUGAUUCUCUGUUGGUUGUUGCUCCGCGAAAGCGUUGAGGUUGUUGAGCUUUGGGAUUUGGAAAUAUUUUAUAAUUUGAAAUUGCAACA